RNAcentral lists this ribosomal RNA (469 nucleotides) under uncultured bacterium. RNAcentral's name for it is "bacterial SSU rRNA". It matches the Rfam family "Bacterial small subunit ribosomal RNA", at positions 335 to 795 of the family's 1533-position model. The record is from RNAcentral.
ACUCCUACGGGAGGCAGCAGUGGGGAAUAUUGCGCAAUGGGCGAAAGCCUGACGCAGCAACGCCGUGUGAGGGAUGAAGGCUUUCGGGUCGUAAACCUCUGUCAGAAGGGAAGAACGGGCAUUGGUCUAAUAGGCCUUUGUUUUGACGGUACCUUCAGAGGAAGCACCGGCUAACUCCGUGCCAGCAGCCGCGGUAAUACGGAGGGUGCAAGCGUUAUUCGGAAUUACUGGGCGUAAAGCGCACGUAGGCCGCUUUGUAAGUCAGGGGUGAAAUCCCACGGCUCAACCGUGGAACUGCCCUUGAAACUGCGAAGCUUGAAUCCUGGAGAGGGUGGCGGAAUUCCUGGUGUAGGAGUGAAAUCCGUAGAUAUCAGGAGGAACACCGGUGGCGAAGGCGGCCACCUGGACAGGCAUUGACGCUGAGGUGCGAAAGUGUGGGGAGCAAACAGGAUUAGAUACCCUGGUAGUC